UCCAACAUGGGGGUUUGCUUCAGGCUUGCAGUGCUGCAAUCUCAUUGACAACUUGGGCUUUGUCGGCUUCAAACUGCUCAUCCUCUUUAUCUGUCUUGAAGGUGCUAAAGAACCGAAGAAACUUGCUUCUAUUUGUCACUAGAAUGCUUACGAUCUCAGGAGGCUUGUUUUGAUUAGCAGCAAAUAACUUGAAUACAUGGAAUGCCUCUAUUUGGAUGUUCUUACUUGGUUCCCUGAGAAGAUUCAUCAAGAUCAUCAAGUUGUCCUUUGAGCUAACAUACCGCAUCAUGG
RNAcentral lists this unclassified non-coding RNA (291 nucleotides) under Hevea brasiliensis (rubber tree). Lineage: Eukaryota; Viridiplantae; Streptophyta; Magnoliopsida; Malpighiales; Euphorbiaceae. The record is from RNAcentral.